GUAGAUGUCAGAUUAGUUCCAGAUGUUGGUCUUACUGUAGAUGCCAGACUAGUUCCAGAUGUUGGACUUUUGGUAGAUGUCAGAUUAGUUCCGGAUGUUGGACCUUCUGUAGAUGUCAGACUAGUUCCAGAUGUUGGACCUGCUGUAGAUGUCAGAUUAGUUCCAGAUGUUGGACCUGCUGUAGAUGUCAGACUAGUUCCAGGUGUUGGACCUGCUGUAGAUGUCAGACUAGUUCCAGGUGUUGGACCUGCUGUAGAUGUCAGACUAGUUCCAGAUGUUGGGCUUGCUGUAGAUGUCAGAC
Molecule: non-coding RNA, 301 nt
Organism: Pelobates cultripes (western spadefoot toad)
Lineage: Eukaryota; Metazoa; Chordata; Amphibia; Anura; Pelobatidae
Source: the annotation of a GenBank genome assembly